This 440-nucleotide ribosomal RNA is filed under the name uncultured bacterium. Its description in RNAcentral is "partial 16S ribosomal RNA". It matches the Rfam family "Bacterial small subunit ribosomal RNA", at positions 339 to 795 of the family's 1533-position model. The record is from RNAcentral.
CUACGGGAGGCAGCAGUGAGGAAUAUUGCACAAUGGGGGGAACCCUGAUGCAGCAACGCCGCGUGGAGGAUGACGCAUUUCGGUGUGUAAACUCCUUUUAUAUGUCAAGAAAAUGACGGUAGCAUAUGAAUAAGCACCGGCUAACUCCGUGCCAGCAGCCGCGGGUAAUACGGAGGGUGCAAGCGUUACUCGGAAUCACUGGGCGUAAAGGACGCGUAGGCGGGUUGGAAAGUCAGGUGUGAAAUCCUACAGCUUAACUGUAGAACUGCACUUGAAACUUCUAAUCUAGAGUAUGGGAGGGGGAGAUGGAAUUAGUGGUGUAGGGGUAAAAUCCGUAGAUAUCACUAGGAAUACCUAAAGCGAAGGCGAUCUCCUGGAACAUUACUGACGCUGAGGCGUGAAAGCGUGGGGAGCAAACAGGAUUAGAUACCCUGGUAGUC